UGGGGAAUUUUGGACAAUGGGCGAAAGCCUGAUCCAGCAAUGCCGCGUGUGUGAAGAAGGCCUUCGGGUUGUAAAGCACUUUUGUCCGGAAAGAAAUCCUUGGCUCUAAUACAGUCGGGGGAUGACGGUACCGGAAGAAUAAGCACCGGCUAACUACGUGCCAGCAGCCGCGGUAAUACGUAGGGUGCAAGCGUUAAUCGGAAUUACUGGGCGUAAAGCGUGCGCAGGCGGUUUGCUAAGACCGAUGUGAAAUCCCCGGGCUCAACCUGGGAACUGCAUUGGUGACUGGCAGGCUAGAGUAUGGCAGAGGGGGGUAGAAUUCCACGUGUAGCAGUGAAAUGCGUAGAGAUGUGGAGGAAUACCGAUGGCGAAGGCAGCCCCCCUGGGCCAAUACUGACGCUCAUGCACGAAAGCGUGGGGAGCAAACAGGAUUAGAUACCCUGGUAGUCCACGCCCUAAACGAUGUCAACUAGUUGUUGGGGAUUCAUUUCCUUAGUAACGUAGCUAACGCGUGAAGUUG
RNAcentral lists this ribosomal RNA (520 nucleotides) under uncultured bacterium. RNAcentral's name for it is "partial 16S ribosomal RNA". It matches the Rfam family "Bacterial small subunit ribosomal RNA", at positions 355 to 867 of the family's 1533-position model. The record is from RNAcentral.